GCAGGCCAAGAAAGAAUUUGAAGAGCAACUAGACAAGGACACACAAACUAAGAGCAAAAGUAUUUGUAAGUACAGCAGACUCGGGAAGCCUGCCAAACAGUCAGGCCACUGGACAACUGAGCUGCUAAAAGAGCACCCAAGGAAAACACGGCUACUACGGAGGAGCUAAACAGGAUGCAGAAGUGAUCCUGGCAAUUACUGGUAGUGACCACUAGAUUAAGUUAUCUCCCCUUGAUACAAGCAGAGCUCCUUGAGACACAUCUGGAACUUCCUGCUGGUGUCCUGGGGCAUCCACAGCAAACCAGUCAAAAGACAGUCAAUGAGAGUGGAGUCGAGCCCAAAAACCAGAAGUGAACAAGCAAUUCACAAAGAGGGACAGUGCCAGUUUUAUUUCUCUCACCAAGAAACUAACGCAGCAAGAAUAGUAUCUGCUCAGAGAGAAACUCUCAGCUGUACUUCCUGCUUGAGCCAAGAGUUAGGGCAGAAAGGAGAAUGAUGCAAAGAAAGUGUUCCUUGGGAGAGAUGAUGUGUCUGUGCUUAUACCAAACCUCUGUAUUUGCAGCACAAUUGGUCAAAUGGGGAAAUCUUCAGCUGCACAACAGCACUUGGGACAAAUAGUCCUGCUGAAAGUGUGUGGCCCAGACAAGAGGUUCCAGGCUGAAAUUCCUUGUGACUUUCCCAGUUUAAAAAUAUUUAAUCACAAAGACCGAACUAGAAUCAGGGAAGAAGAGGAAUAAUUGAGUAUGAAGAAGUUAAAUAGUCUGAGUCCUAUUACUAAACCCUUGUUGGUUCAGCCUGGCACCGCCUCACAGAAGAUAUAGCCAGGUGUGACUUAUAGGCACUGAGGGGUGUCACCCACCUUUUUGAUGGUGUUUCAGCUCUUGGCCCCUCACCAUAAUUCUGAGCUGUCUCAUGAAGACCAGGAGAGUAGUGAGCCUUGCAGGGCUUGCAAGGAUAAUGGUGCAGAUGACACAGAGCAAGUACCCAUCAUGUCUGGUUAGAUUCUGUCUCACAGAACCUGCACAAUAGGCUACAAUAGGAAUUAGCAGGUCUAGCAUAGUGCUGGUCCCUUCAUUCCCACAAGAUCUCCUACAAGUGUCACCAGUGUUGUAUGAUCAUAGUGUCAAAGACUGCAGAGCACUCUAGCAGAAACUGCAGAGGGGUUUAGAUGUGGCUCAAGACCAAGAAGGGAUGGUUCAUCAGCUCCAGAAAAACCAUCUCUGGGCAGUGUCUGACACCUAAUUAUAGUGAAGGCAGAAGAGAUGCCGCUAGAACUUGGAUGCCAUCACUUUCUCAAUAGCUUUACCAAAAAUAAAAGGAUAGAUGGUUAGGGUAAGUGUAACGGCCUGUACUUUUUAAGGUGGCUCAUUGAUACUUUCUGUGAAGGCAAGAUUGAUGAUGUCAAUAUGAGGCCCAGUUGUUCUUUGCUUGCAAGACGGGCAGGGUGUCUAUGUCAUAUAUAACAAUCUGGAUCCACCUCAGAGCUUCCAGGAGCCUGAGGAAUGUCGAUCCCCCCUCCCACCCCCAGCUGCCAUAUUAGUUACUGUGAAACUAGGGUGACCAGACAGCAAAUGUGAAAAAUCUGGAUGGGGUAGGAGAUAAUAGGAGCUUAUACAAGAAAAAGACCCAAAAAUCAGGUCUGUCCCUAUAAAAUUGGGACAUCUGGUCACCGUAUGCGAAACACAUGAGCUUUGGACAUGCAGUCACUGGCUGUGGUUGGUAAUGGCUAAUUAUUAGAGCAAGAAGCAGGGACUCGGGAAUCUGUCAUUCUAGU
Non-coding RNA from Chelonoidis abingdonii (Abingdon island giant tortoise), 1774 nucleotides. The record is from RefSeq and is a predicted model, not a curated record. NCBI's taxonomy places the organism in Eukaryota, Metazoa, Chordata, Testudines, Testudinidae.